Molecule: transfer RNA, 73 nt
Filed under: Candidatus Methylomicrobium oryzae
Lineage: Bacteria; Pseudomonadati; Pseudomonadota; Gammaproteobacteria; Methylococcales; Methylococcaceae
Description: tRNA-Trp
Rfam family: tRNA
About the family: Transfer RNA (tRNA) molecules are approximately 80 nucleotides in length.
Source: RNAcentral
GCCGCCGUAGCUCAGCGGAAGAGCGCCGCGCCCAACGCGGAGGCCGCAGGUUCGAAUCCUGCCGGCGGCUCCA